This 72-nucleotide transfer RNA is filed under the name Gavia stellata (red-throated loon). It matches the Rfam family "tRNA". Rfam says of the family: Transfer RNA (tRNA) molecules are approximately 80 nucleotides in length. Lineage: Eukaryota; Metazoa; Chordata; Aves; Gaviiformes; Gaviidae. The record is from Rfam by way of RNAcentral.
GGCUUGUUGGUCUAGGGGUAUGAUUAUUGCUUAGGGUGCAAGAGGUCCCGGGUUCAACUCCCAGAUGAGCCC